This 783-nucleotide ribosomal RNA is filed under the name uncultured bacterium. Its description in RNAcentral is "bacterial SSU rRNA". It matches the Rfam family "Bacterial small subunit ribosomal RNA", at positions 28 to 809 of the family's 1533-position model. The record is from RNAcentral.
GAUGAACGCUGGCGGCGUGCUUAACACAUGCAAGUCGAACGAAGCACUUUAUUUGAUUUCCUUCGGGACUGAUUAUUUUGUGACUGAGUGGCGGACGGGUGAGUAACGCGUGGGUAACCUGCCUUGUACAGGGGGAUAACAGUUGGAAACGGCUGCUAAUACCGCAUAAGCGCACAGCAUCGCAUGAUGCAGUGUGAAAAACUCCGGUGGUAUAAGAUGGACCCGCGUUGGAUUAGCUAGUUGGUGAGGUAACGGCCCACCAAGGCGACGAUCCAUAGCCGACCUGAGAGGGUGACCGGCCACAUUGGGACUGAGACACGGCCCAAACUCCUACGGGAGGCAGCAGUGGGGAAUAUUGCACAAUGGGCGAAAGCCUGAUGCAGCGACGCCGCGUGAGCGAAGAAGUAUUUCGGUAUGUAAAGCUCUAUCAGCAGGGAAGAUAAUGACGGUACCUGACUAAGAAGCACCGGCUAAAUACGUGCCAGCAGCCGCGGUAAUACGUAUGGUGCAAGCGUUAUCCGGAUUUACUGGGUGUAAAGGGAGCGCAGGCGGUGCGGCAAGUCUGAUGUGAAAGCCCGGGGCUCAACCCCGGUACUGCAUUGGAAACUGUCGUACUAGAGUGUCGGAGGGGUAAGCGGAAUUCCUAGUGUAGCGGUGAAAUGCGUAGAUAUUAGGAGGAACACCAGUGGCGAAGGCGGCUUACUGGACGAUAACUGACGCUGAGGCUCGAAAGCGUGGGGAGCAAACAGGAUCAGAUACCCUGGUAGUCCACGCCGUAAACGC